AGCUCAGUAGGUAGAGCGCCUGCAUAGCAUGCAGGAGGCCCUGGGUCUGAUCCCCAG
Molecule: transfer RNA, 57 nt
Filed under: Neotoma lepida (desert woodrat)
Lineage: Eukaryota; Metazoa; Chordata; Mammalia; Rodentia; Cricetidae
Rfam family: tRNA
About the family: Transfer RNA (tRNA) molecules are approximately 80 nucleotides in length. Their secondary structure includes four short double-helical elements and three loops (D, anti-codon, and T loops).
Source: Rfam by way of RNAcentral